AAACCCAUGAAAUGAAAGAAAAAAACAAAUCAUCUAUAAAAAAAGAGUACUGCAUUUUAAUAAGCACUACUAAAUUAAAUUGAAAAUCCUAAUAAAAAUUAUUAAAUAAAAAAAUUGAAAGCAAAAUGAGCGGAGAAAAACCCCAUAGAAAAAAAAACCAAGCAAUAGACAAAAAAAAUCAAGACUAAUAAAAUCGGGAUAAAAUUUCACCAAGUGAAUAAUUGAUAAGAAACUUCAAGAGAACGAGAGGGAGGUGAGUUGAUAAGUUAUUUGACAUCUUAAAUUGUAUAGAAAGGAAUAAGCAGUAACGUUGUUAUUUGAUAGGUAAUUUUCAGAAUACGAGAUCAC
This 348-nucleotide long non-coding RNA is filed under the name Trifolium pratense (red clover). RNAcentral describes it as "long non-coding RNA (TPRA_LNC001173)". Lineage: Eukaryota; Viridiplantae; Streptophyta; Magnoliopsida; Fabales; Fabaceae. The record is from RNAcentral.